RNAcentral lists this ribosomal RNA (244 nucleotides) under uncultured Entrophospora. RNAcentral describes it as "uncultured Claroideoglomus partial 18S ribosomal RNA". It matches the Rfam family "Eukaryotic small subunit ribosomal RNA", at positions 665 to 886 of the family's 1831-position model. Lineage: Eukaryota; Fungi; Glomeromycota; Glomeromycetes; Entrophosporales; Entrophosporaceae. The record is from RNAcentral.
GGAUUGACACGUCGGUCGUGCCUUAAGGGGUAUGAACUGGUGUAGUCAAUUUCUCACCUUCUGGAGAACCGCGAUGCCCUUAAUUGGGUGUCACGGGGAACCAGGACCUUUACUUUGAAAAAAUUAGAGUGUUUAAAAGCAGGCAUUUUGCUUGAAUUACAUUAGCAUGGAAUAAUAAAAUAGGACGGCAUGAUUCAUUUUGUGGUUUCUAGGAUCACCGUAAUGAUUAAUAGGGAUAGUUGGG